UUUCCGUAGGUGAACCUGCGGAAGGAUCAUUGUUGAGAGAGCAUUGAACGACGGAUGGCUGUGAAUGUGUCAACGCGCCCCUUUCGCUGCCCCAUGUUGGCAGUUGAUUGAUCGUAGCUCGGUGCGAUCUGCACCAAGGAACAAUGAACUCAGAAGCAUAUGGCCCUCAGCGUGCGCCCUCAAAUCAAAUGACUCUCGGCAAUGGAUAUCUCGGCUCUUGCAUCGAUGAAGAACGUAGUGAAAUGCGAUACUUGGUGUGAAUUGCAGAAUCUCGUGAACCAUUGAGUCUUUGAACGCAAGUUGUGCCCGAGGCCUUGUGGCCGAGGGCACGCCUGCUUGGGCGUCAUGGCAUCGUCGCCUUUGCUCCUUGCUCUGUCGGUGCCAAGCGCGGAAAUUGGCCUCGUGUGCCCUCGGGCACAGUCGGCUGAAGAGUGGGUAAUCCGCAGUCGUCGGGCGCGAUGGGUGUUGGUCGCCCUGUGCGUGAACUGAACGUCGUCCCCGUCGUGUUGAGAUGAGUCCUCAAGAGACCCUGUGUGAUAGCGGCGUCGCAUAAAAGCGUCGUGUCCAUCAAAUUGUGGCCCCAAGUCAGGCGAGG
This 595-nucleotide ribosomal RNA is filed under the name Alpinia rugosa. RNAcentral describes it as "eukaryotic LSU rRNA". The stretch from base 191 to 346 matches the Rfam family "5.8S ribosomal RNA". The record is from RNAcentral. Lineage: Eukaryota; Viridiplantae; Streptophyta; Magnoliopsida; Zingiberales; Zingiberaceae.